RNA transcript from Sarcophilus harrisii (Tasmanian devil), 2113 nucleotides. It is a transcript of the gene named ajuba LIM protein, with no coding region annotated. The record is from RefSeq and is a predicted model, not a curated record. NCBI's taxonomy places the organism in Eukaryota, Metazoa, Chordata, Mammalia, Dasyuromorphia, Dasyuridae. The transcript is spliced from 9 exons.
GGAGGCAGGACCAGCCCGCAGACCGAUGAGCAGAUAGACUGGUGGGCAGAGCAGCUGCAGCCUUGGCUCCCCCCAGUCCGUGUGGUCCGUGAUGGGUCAGGGAGCUGUGCCCCUCUCCCUGGGGGAUGCUGUGGGCUCCUGGGCGCCGGGCACCCGGGCCGCCAGCUGAGCCCCGGGCCGCCCCAGCGCUCCCGGGGACCUAGAUCCCCGCGGCCGGGGAGAGGGGGAAGCAGCCCACACGCAGCCAGGGGCCGGGGCUACCCGAGGGCAUGGAGCGCCUGGGAGAGAAAGCCAGCCGCCUGCUGGAAAAGCUGAAGCUCUCCGACUCCGGCAGCGCCAAGUUUGGCCGCAGAAAAGGGGAGGCAAGCCGGCCAGGGUCCGACGGAAGCCCUUCUCCCGGAAAGGGGCGGCCGAGCGGGCCCGGGGGCCCCAGGAAGCCAGGGAGCCGGGGAGCUCUUGGAGAGUCUGGGGAUGAGCCGCUGGAAGCAGCCCGCGAGCAAGGCCCCCUGGAGGCUGAGCGGGUCCGACGCUACUCCUUUGAGGCGCCGCGCUACGAAGUGCCUUUCCCCGGCGGGGCUCCCCAGCCCCGGGCCUUGCCUCUGCCCCAGUCGCUGCUCCCCGACUUGCGUCUGGAGACCCUGGCCCCCGCCUUGAGCCCGCGCUCUAGCUUCGCCAGCAGCUCCGCCAGCGACGCCAGCAAGCCGUCCAGCCCCCGGGGCAGCCUUCUCCUGGACGGGGCGGGGAGUUGCGGAGCCGGCGGCAGCCGGCCCUGCAGCAACCGCACCAGCGGCAUCAGCAUGGGCUACGACCAGCGCCACGGAAGCCCCCUGCCCAGCGGGCCGUGCUCCUUCGGCCCCCCCUUCGCCGGAGCUCCCACGGGCUUCCCCUCGGGGGGUGUUCCCUCCGCCUACCCCGACCUCCAUGCUGCUUUAGACCGGCUCUGCGCUCACCGACCCACGGGGUUUGGCUUUCAGGAGAGCCGUCACUCGUACCCGCCGGCCCUCGGCAGCCCCGGGGCCCUGGCCGGGGCCGGGAUGGGAGCGACUGGGCCCUUGGAGAGGCGCGGGGCGCAGCCUGGACGGCACUCGGUGACCGGCUAUGGGGACUGCGCGGCGGGCGUCCGCUACCCGGAGGAGCUGGCGGCGCUGCUGCGGCUCGCUGUGGGAACCGCAGGGCGGGAGCCCGGCGCCCACGGGGAGCCCCCCGGCAUCGAGUCCCCGGGGCCCGAGGACACGCCCGCCCCCUUCCCCCUGGAAGCGGGCCGCGGUCGGGCUCGGGAGCUGGAGUCUAAGGAGGAUUACUUCGGCACAUGUAUAAAGUGUAACAAGGGCAUCUAUGGGCAAAGCAACGCCUGCCAGGCCCUGGACAGUCUGUACCAUACCCAGUGCUUUGUUUGCUGUUCUUGUGGGAGGACACUUCGAUGCAAAGCCUUCUACAGUGUCAAUGGCUCUGUCUACUGUGAGGAGGAUUACUUGUUUUCAGGGUUCCAGGAAGCGGCAGAAAAAUGUUGUGUCUGUGGUCACUUGAUCUUGGAGAAGAUCCUGCAGGCAAUGGGAAAGUCUUAUCACCCAGGCUGCUUCCGCUGUAUUGUCUGCAACAAGUGUUUGGAUGGCGUACCUUUCACUGUGGACUUCUCCAACCAAGUGUACUGUGUCACCGACUACCACAAAAAUUAUGCCCCCAAAUGUGCUGCUUGUGGCCAACCCAUCCUCCCGUCCGAGGGCUGUGAGGAGAUUGUGAGGGUGAUAUCCAUGGACCGGGAUUACCAUUUUGAGUGCUAUCACUGCGAGGACUGUCGGAUGCAGCUGAGUGAUGAGGAGGGCUGCUGCUGCUUCCCCCUGGACGGACACCUGCUCUGCCAUUCCUGCCACAUGCAGAGGAUCAAUGCUCACCAGGGCACUGCCAACUACGUCUGAGCUGCCGCUUCCAUCCGUUGCUUCUGGCUCCCAAGCUCCAGCAGUCCCACCCCUCCCGGGCAGCGGGCAGUGGAGAGCCCAUUGGGGUGGAAGUGAGGGAUACAGGAAAGAAGGCAGGGCAGGUGGAAGUCCCAGGAAAAAGAUGGCAUCAGGAGAUUAUUGCUUACCUGGAGAGGGCAUGGAAUUACUCCAGCAAG